UGGGGAAUAUUGCACAAUGGGCGCAAGCCUGAUGCAGCCAUGCCGCGUGUAUGAAGAAGGCCUUCGGGUUGUAAAGUACUUUCAGUCGGGAGGAAGGUGGUAAGGUUAAUAACCUUAUCAAUUGACGUUACCGACAGAAGAAGCACCGGCUAACUCCGUGCCAGCAGCCGCGGUAAUACGGAGGGUGCAAGUGUUAAUCGGAAUUACUGGGCGUAAAGCGCACGCAGGCGGUUGAUUGAGUCAGAUGUGAAAUCCCCGGGCUUAACCCGGGAAUUGCAUCUGAUACUGGUCAGCUAGAGUCUUGUAGAGGGGGGUAGAAUUCCAUGUGUAGCGGUGAAAUGCGUAGAGAUGUGGAGGAAUACCGGUGGCGAAGGCGGCCCCCUGGACAAAGACUGACGCUCAGGUGCGAAAGCGUGGGGAGCAAACAGG
RNAcentral lists this ribosomal RNA (429 nucleotides) under Chloroflexota bacterium. RNAcentral's name for it is "Chloroflexi bacterium partial 16S ribosomal RNA". It matches the Rfam family "Bacterial small subunit ribosomal RNA", at positions 355 to 776 of the family's 1533-position model. Lineage: Bacteria; Bacillati; Chloroflexota. The record is from RNAcentral.